RNAcentral lists this ribosomal RNA (254 nucleotides) under uncultured bacterium. RNAcentral describes it as "partial 16S ribosomal RNA". It matches the Rfam family "Bacterial small subunit ribosomal RNA", at positions 524 to 776 of the family's 1533-position model. The record is from RNAcentral.
UACGGGGGGAGCAAGCGUUGUUCGGAUUUACUGGGCGUAAAGCGUGCGCAGGCGGUUGUGCAAGACAGAUGUGAAAUCCCCGGGCUUAACCUGGGAAUUGCAUUUGUGACUGUACGGCUAGAGUGUGUCAGAGGGGGGUAGAAUUCCACGUGUAGCAGUGAAAUGCGUAGAGAUGUGGAGGAAUACCGAUGGCGAAGGCAGCCCCCCUGGGAUAACACUGACGCUCAUGCACGAAAGCGUGGGGAGCAAACAGG